Molecule: ribosomal RNA, 433 nt
Filed under: uncultured bacterium
Lineage: Bacteria
Description: partial 16S ribosomal RNA
Rfam family: Bacterial small subunit ribosomal RNA
Source: RNAcentral
AACGAACGCUGGCGGCAUGCCUAACACAUGCAAGUCGAACGAGACCUUCGGGUCUAGUGGCGCACGGGUGCGUAACGCGUGGGAACCUGCACUUAGGUUCGGAAUAACUCCCCGAAAGGGGUGCUAAUACCGGAUAAUGUCUUCGGACCAAAGAUUUAUCGCGUUUGGAUGGGCCCGCGUUGGAUUAGCUGGUUGGUAGGGUAAAAGCCUACCAAGGCGACGAUCCAUAGCUGGUCUGAGAGGAUGAUCAGCAACACUGGGACUGAGACACGGCCCAGACUCCUACGGGAGGCAGCAGUGGGGAAUAUUGGACAAUGGGCGAAAGCCUGAUCCAGCCAUGCCGCGGGAGUGAUGAAGGCCUUAGGGUUGUAAAGCUCUUUUACCCGGGAUGAUAAUGACAGUACCGGGAGAAUAAGCUCCGGCUAACUCCGUG